RNAcentral lists this ribosomal RNA (422 nucleotides) under uncultured bacterium. RNAcentral describes it as "partial 16S ribosomal RNA". It matches the Rfam family "Bacterial small subunit ribosomal RNA", at positions 360 to 774 of the family's 1533-position model. The record is from RNAcentral.
AAUAUUGGACAAUGGGCGAAAGCCUGAUCCAGCCAUGCCGCGUUUGUGAAUAAGGUCNNNUGAUUNUCAAGCACUUUAAGUUGNGAGNAGGGGUUGUAGGUUACUACCCUUCAAUUUUGUCGUUACCAACAGAAUAAGUACCUGCUAACUUCGUGCCACCAGCCGCGGUAAUACGAAGGGUGCAAGCGUUAAUCGGAAUUACUUGGCGUAAAGCGCGCGUAGGUGGUUCGUUAAGUUGGAAGUGAAAGCCACGGGCUUAACCUGGGAAUUGCUUUCAAAACUGACGAGCUAGAGUACGGUAGGGGGUAGUGGAAUUUCCUGUGUAGCGGUGAAAUGCGUAGAUAUAGGAAGGAACAUCAGUGGCGAAGGCGACUACCUGGACUGAUACUGACACUGAGGUGCGAAAGCGUGGGGAGCAAACA